GUGGCUAUAGUUCAGUUGGUAGAGCGCCAGUUUGUGGCACUGGUUGUCGCGAGUUCAAGUCUCGUUAGCCACCCCA
This 76-nucleotide transfer RNA is filed under the name Fusobacterium perfoetens. RNAcentral's name for it is "tRNA-His". It matches the Rfam family "tRNA". From Rfam's summary of the family: Transfer RNA (tRNA) molecules are approximately 80 nucleotides in length. Their secondary structure includes four short double-helical elements and three loops (D, anti-codon, and T loops). Lineage: Bacteria; Fusobacteriati; Fusobacteriota; Fusobacteriia; Fusobacteriales; Fusobacteriaceae. RNAcentral also lists the same sequence under 3 other names. The record is from RNAcentral.